CUCACAAACUAAUUAGGUUCAGGUCAGGUAUGUGACUGGGAGAACUCCAAGAAGGGUGGAGGGUGAAGCAGGAAGUGUUGAUGAUUCAACCACGGAUCAUCUUGAAAACAUUCCUUAAGUUGCUCCUUCAGAAACAAGUUUUGGAAAUGAAAGAAAAGUGAUCUUAGUUCUGAAACUCUGAAAAGGGACAACUUUCUGGUAAAAAAAAGGAAGGUGGGAAGGACACUUUAUCUAGGAGGUAGAGAAACAAUUGAUUCAUUCAUCACAAAUUUUAUGAUGACAGUUAAUAGUCUCUAGCAGUGGAGUUGGAAAGGUGAUAACAAGACAAAAUUCCAGUUGCUAUUAUCAGCUCUGAAGACAAUCUUUCCAUCUAGUAAAAAACUAGAGCUGCAAGGGAAAUCUUUAAUCAAUGUCUGCAUAUGUAAUCAGAGGAAUGUAAAAGACAAAUUCCUGUUUUUGUAUUAGAUACUGCAAACCUUUAGUAGUAUACACCUAGGGCUAUGCAAUGCUGCUGUGUGCCAUUCUGUGCUAUGAGGGGUGGCUAAACUUUAACCCACCACCCCCAGCCAUAAAAUCCUCCAACCCUGGAAUGAGCUCCUCAGAAAAGCUGCUGCCAAGCUGAAGUAAUGGAAUGGGAAAGUAGCAUACUCUCCAUUUCCUGACAUAUUCAAAUCGCAACUUCUUAGGAAUUCCCCUAGUCAACACAAGGCAUAAGGCUUAAGGCAGAGUAACCAAAGAAAAGACUAUGGUCCGUGUUAUACAGGUCAUCCUUGGUCCUAUAGUAGGUCUUUUGGAUAAUGUUACUCUACAGUCAGUAGAUGCAAAAAAAGUCCAAGAGAACAAGCUACUAUCUGGAUAGUGCUCACCAGCUUUCAGCUCCAGCUUUUAAUUUUCUGUGCCUCAUCUCUGUUCACUAUGUGACAUGUAGCUGUAAUGACUGCUGGAAGCACCAACCGAAGCAACAUGGCAGAGCUGUGACUGAGACAGAGGUGUGAACUUCAGAGGAUCAGCACAGCCUGUGGCAUAGAUGGUUGUGACCACUGUAAGACCCUCAGUCUGGCAAGCAGCUACGGCACCUGGAAGCAGCAAGAUCCGGCUGGAUCAAAGCACACUCUCUCUGUGCUGGAGCCCCCCUGUAGACUCCACUGAUCUGCACAAUUCAUUUUUUUUCCUCUGUCUGGGAUCUGGUAAUCACCUCCUGCAACCUACUGCUCUCCCAACUAGUGUUUUCUCUGGGAUCUGUGUUGGCCUGGCUAAUGCUUUUAGCUGUACGGAGAUGAAAAGAAGGUAAGGAAAAAUGAAGAAAAAGACCCUGCAGAUGAAAGUCUGAGGCAGUGUUUUUCUUUCCAAAGUGCUGCUACAUUCCCAUAAGCUUGUGGUUUCCUGCAUUCUGCUAGAGGGCUUUUUUUUUUUUUUUUUUUUUUUUUU
Dromaius novaehollandiae (emu) is the source of this 1428-nucleotide long non-coding RNA. RefSeq lists it as uncharacterized. Lineage: Eukaryota; Metazoa; Chordata; Aves; Casuariiformes; Dromaiidae. The record is from RefSeq and is a predicted model, not a curated record. The transcript is spliced from 2 exons.